Oncorhynchus tshawytscha (Chinook salmon) is the source of this 2264-nucleotide long non-coding RNA. The record is from Ensembl. NCBI's taxonomy places the organism in Eukaryota, Metazoa, Chordata, Actinopteri, Salmoniformes, Salmonidae.
GGAAGUUUUGGAAGUGAGAUUUUGGAAGAUGAUUUGAAAGCGUGGAGCUAUUGAAUACACAUCGCCUCGAUCAAUUUGAUAGAUUAUUAACGUUUACUAAUACCUAAAGUUGGAUUACAAAAGUAUUUCGAAGUGUUUUGUGAAAGUUUAUCGUCGACUUUUUUAAUUUAAAAAAAUGACGUAGCAUUUCGAAACGGUGUUUUUUUCUGAAUCACACAGUUUCCAUAGAUGUAUAUUUUGGGUAUAUAUGGACCGAUUUAAUCGAAAAAAAGACCCAAUAGUGAUGUUUAUGGGACAUAUAGGAGUGCCAACAAAGAAGCUCGUCCAAGGACCUGAGCCCUAGGACCAUGCCUCAGGACUACCUGGCAUGAUGACUCCUUGUUGUCCCCAGUCCACCUGGCCGUGGUGCUGCUCCAGUUUCAACUGUUCUGCCGGCGGCUAUGGAACCCUGGCCUGUUCACUGUGAUCACUAUUAUUUGACCAUGCUUGUCAUUUAUGAACAUUUGAACAUCUUGACCAUGUUCUGUUAUAAUCUCCACCCGGCACAGCUAGAAGACGACUGCCCACCCCUCAUAGCCUGGUUCCUCUCUAGGUUUUGGCCGUUCUAGGGAGUUUUUCAUCACCACCGUGCUUCUACACCUGCAUUGCUUGCUGUUUGGGGUUUUAGGCUGGGUUUCUGUAUAGCACUUUGAUAUAUCAGCUGAUGUAAGAAGGGCUAUAUAAAUAAAUUUGAUUUGAUUUUGACAUACAUAAUGCAUUAAGUGCAUUCAUAAUCCUGUCAUAAACACUUAUACUUCAUUAUAAUUUAUCACUUGCUACAGUAUAUACACUCAGAAAUAGUUAAAACAUCUGUAGAAGGCAAUACGUGUGUUUGCCUACAGAAAAAUGUUACCCAUUUUUUCAUUAAUCACAACAGUUUGGCGAGCCCUACAUGACAGUCAUGUGUGUAGAUUUCUUUCAGUCCUGUUUCCCCCUUCAUAUGCCUAAUAGGCAUGGCAGAGACUAUUCUCUGUUUUAAUUGGCAAACAUUUGUUCUUUAGUGGUUAGGCAUGAACUGUUUUCAAUUUUCUCGUUAGUCACACAACUCUGGGUCUCUAAUGCCAUGCGAUCUACAAUUCCAGAACAAUGCCACACAUAAUGGUGCAGGGCUUUAUUCCGGGCAGCUGCUGAAGAAACAGAGAGAAAACUGCUUCCAUAUUGUAACUAAAAUAUAAGAGGUUUAAAUCUAGUCCAAAAAGAACAUUCAGCUGGAGAUGAAUGCAUGGGGGUGUGACCAGUUGAAAGAACCAAAGAAGACGACGAUCGAGUGUAUCAGAAUGGGCUAAAUAAUUCCAUAUAAGAAAGAUUUGAAGCAUCCCAAACAUCAAACGUGUAUAAAUUCUUGCUUCAACAUAUUAAAGCUAGAAUCCUUAGUUGCCACAUCCAUUUUUGGAUUUACAGAUUAAUAACAAAAUGAUGUCCCAUUGAUUCUUGAAGAAUAUAACUUAUAAAUGCCUCAUGAUGUUAUUUCAACUGUCGUACUCCAUCAGAACCCAACAUAUAAACUUGCUUUACUCCAAUGUUUGUAAACAAUGUAAAUGUAACCAAAUACUGUAUCGCCUCAAAACAAUGGUUUAAACUAUAAUGUUGCUAUAAUGGAUGGUCAGUCCGUACAUACUGUACAUAGCUCCGUCUAUGAAUUUGAGAGUAGUUACAUUUAUCCAGGCCCAUCCCUUAGCUUUUUUCCAAAACAGAGGCGGGUAACCACUUUGUUAUUGAGGGGAUUUGAUUAUCUGGCCCUGGUUACCCCGGUGGGAGGAGUUUGCACCGGGUGAAACGUGAUUGCAUUAGUCUUGGAUCCGGCUGCCUCCGGCACGUGAGCCAGGUGCCCCGUUCAAAGCUCACAGCGAAGUCAGCUCAAAACAAGAGUGACUUAGCCUAGGCUAGAUAAAACACGUGGAGUAAUGAGUAGGAUUAUGUGUUUACGAUAAAAAUGUUUUCUCUGCCUCCCAAGGAAGUCUCCCCGGUUGUCCUUUCAUGUGAGAGCAGUCUGCCUUGAUGAAUAAAAUAUUUCCUACAAUUGCAUAAUGUCGCUCCAAGCCGCAGGGGGAGAGAGCGUAGAGCGAUCUGUCCUCCACUCUCUCAGUCAAGCGUUGAGAGAAAAUGGUGAACCUUUGAGGACGCUGGCAGGGAAAGGUGAUAACGCUGUUUACCGAUGUUCAGUCCAAAGCAAUACUUUGCAUAAGCCCACAGGCACAUCAAAGCUGGUUCACCGAGCUAGGCUC